CCGGGAUGCUGGCAACAACACUAGCAGCAGUAGUUAAAGCAUUGGAGGAAAUAUAACUAAAUUUCUCCAUUGAGAAACCUCAAAUGGACCCCAAGCCUUCCACAGGAAUGUGGCCUGGUCCUGAGCCUGAUACUUCUCAUGGUGAUUCUUGU
Bubalus bubalis (water buffalo) is the source of this 152-nucleotide long non-coding RNA. RefSeq lists it as uncharacterized. The record is from RefSeq and is a predicted model, not a curated record. The transcript has 2 exons. Lineage: Eukaryota; Metazoa; Chordata; Mammalia; Artiodactyla; Bovidae.